AUUAAAGUGGCAGAUUAGUGCAAUGGAUUUAAGCUUCAUUUAUGGAAGGGUGUCUUCUCUUUAAUA
This 66-nucleotide transfer RNA is filed under the name Tachypleus gigas (Indo-Pacific horseshoe crab). Its description in RNAcentral is "tRNA-Leu". Lineage: Eukaryota; Metazoa; Arthropoda; Merostomata; Xiphosura; Limulidae. The record is from RNAcentral.